GCUACCUUUGUUUAUCCUAGUAAGUGUUAGUUUGGAAGUACUGCACAUACUUCAAUUGGAUUUUAAAUUAAGCAUGGUGCUUAGGUUAAACAGCCUUCCUUAAUCUGAUUAGACAUGGAGUCUAGUUCGGUUAUUGAACUAAAAACUGCUUGUGUAGACAUUGGUAUAUUUUGUCGGACUAACCCCUGCAGAAAAACUUUCAAUAUUGAUUUGGGAAGUCCUGAGAUAAACUCACAUCGGAGUUGAAGAGAGAGACACAUGAAGUUUAACAAUUUGCUCAAGAAGGACAUAGCUCAUUCAUCAUAGAGAGAUGAUCCAUGGAAGGAGACAAAGUACAUAAACAAGAUACACAACCACUACGAAUGGGAAGCUUCCACAAGGUGAAAUAGUACCAUCACUCUUCAAUUAAGGUAACAUCUUAAGAUAUGUGACUAUCACUUUUAUGAGCUUCUCCUUGGUUCUGGCGUUCACAUAAAUAAAGAGACAAACAUGUAUGAUUUAUAACUCCAAAUUAACCAACCCAACUGAUUUAGAAUGUUUAGUCUUUUAAUCUUUGUUCCUAGUACUACCUCCAUGAUCCCACACUCCUAAUCAUAUGAGCUUUGGGAAGAUAUAAAGUUAAGUGAACUUAUCGCCCAUAAAGUUAAGUGAACUUAUUGCACAUUCAAUCUUUGGGAAGAUAUAAAGAAAAAGACAUAGAUAGAUUAUCUUUCCAUAAAGUUAAGUGAUCUGAUCUAACAAAUGUUUUAAAUGCUACACUCAUGAACUUAUCGCCCAUCAACUUCGUCUUGCUCACUAUGCUUAAGGUUAGAGAAGAACAAAUACACUUUUGGUUUUGUUGGUGUUUUCCACCAAUAGGGCCCAUGCACUUGAUCUCUGCCUUGUCUCUAUGAGCAGGUAAACUUCGAGCAAAACAUGGAGGAGUUUUACAACUCCCAGACUCCACCAAGUGAAGGACCUGGAUCUACGAGCACAAACACACUGAGCAGGAUGCUGCCAACGCCGCACUUCGAACUGUUGGGCAAACGAAGAACAUGGUUGACACCGUAUCAAGAGGUGCAGACGUCAAGGUCCACACCUGAAUCAAAUGACGCACCUAAAGAAUGAACACGGUGAGAAGUCUUGUUGAGAAGACUUAAAACAUUGAACCCUCGCCGAAAGGUAAAAUCAGUAGUUAUCCAUAUUUAUCCUUUCUGCAUUCCCUUUCCCUUAAAAUUAUUGACUUUCCUUAAUAGCUUGUCAGUUAAUCAUGCUAUCUUGAAAAGAAAUUAAAAAUAUUAAAAAACAGUAAGCCCCAUGUGAGUAUGCUCGUGGCAUAAAAUCCAUAAGUACAUUCACUGUGGUGGUGUAAAAAUAAAAAUGUUCCUAUCAUAUAAAAAUUAAAAUAUAAAAAUAAAUUUAUGAUCCUACCAAAGAGAGUAAUAUUUAUUAGAGGAAGCUCAACAUGAUAAAGGCAAAGAGAUUUUAUGCUCACACUUAACCAGUUCCACAAAGCUUUGUUGUCUAUUUGAGCUCCACAGAAUUUGAGGAUCAAAGAAGACUAGCAGACAGAGGACAUUCUAAUCGCUGUCAGGGUGCUGCCUACAUUCAAAUAUACCUCCGCCACCUGCUAGCUACAUCAGAAGAAAUUACGUCAAAAUCCAGCUUGGGGGAGAGCACCCCCAUUUAUCCAGCUAAGUGUUUCUACUCGUGUUUAUACUUUAGUCAAGUAAUAAAAAGAUGCAUAAUCAUAAAAAACCCAAAGAAAGAUUUUAUGCUUAUAUAUAUAUAUAUCUUUGCUUAGUUUUCUAAAUAAAUAAAUAAAGUUUGCUAUGAACCCUCAUGAUAAGCUCUCACAUGGAAAUGAUGAAUAGUUGCUCUGUCAUGACUAGUUCUCAAAAUUGAAUUCUCUCUCAAGUUUAGGCAUGACUGUUAUGAAUUAAGGUUUGCUCUAAACCUGAACUUGUGGGAGGAGUACUUGAUCUAAAGUCUAAGUCGUUAACGGAUAUGAUAUGAGAAUGUUGAGCUGCUGUUUAUCUGUUCCUAGAGAUGCUAGAAUUCUGAAGAAUUUUAUCUUUGAAAAUCUUUAAAAUGUUGCAUGAUGAGUUCCUGUAUGAUGAGAGUUUAAAAUCCUACCACAACCACAUAUACAUGCCUAUUAGACUAUGAACCAUACAUUUACUUUUUACUGCUUAUGAGCAUUGAGUGUGGUCAAGCUGUGUAGACCCUUAGGAGCUUGUCAUACGGAUAAAAUCAAGAUUCACUUGCACGUUCACUCAUACAUGCUGCUUCUACUCCGGAAGUACACAUCCACAUACAUCCAGUCAUUUCCAUCUCAAGAUUCACCCAAAAUUAUUCUACUCCUAUCCAGGAGAGAAUAGCCAAAAACAUUAUCCUAUCCCUAUUAUUCCCCGUGAAAUAAAUGCUCGAGAUAUUUUGGUUACUACCACUUGCUACAUUAUUCCAGGAGGGUGAGUGCUCUAAAAAAAGAGAGAGAGAAGAAAAAAAAAAGAAAAAUACAAGGAAAUAAAAAGGGGCAAGUGCCCAGAACCUCGAAGAAAAGAAAAAGUGAGACGAGAGGUAAAAAUGGACAAGUGUCCGAUAGUAGAAUUAGGGGUACAAGAUACCCACCUGACAGAAAAGAAAAAGAAAAUAUAGAGCAUCUCGUUCCCCUCAAAAAGCUUCAAAGUGCAAGAAAGGUAUGUAUCCCCUCAAAAGAGCAAAAGUAGAAUUAGACUUUCACCAUUGUUUUCACCAUUAUCACCAUCAUCACCAUAAACCAUUCAUUCACCACACAUGCACAUCUUAAUUUGACUUAUUGACUUGUUUCUCUGGAUCCAUGGUUUGACUAUGCAAUAAAUGUCUUGUAAGUAUGUAUUAGCUAUCUCCCACCUAUGAGCUCCAAAUAUCAAAACCUUAUUAGAGUAGGGUGAGAGAGAAGGCAAUGUCACUAUGCCUCGUACCAAAAAUACCACAUACUUUGAAGAGAAGGCAUACACCAUCAUUGCCUUUGUAAGGAUCCAGAAAUACCACAAAAGAGAGACUAGAGAGAGUCAUACAUGAAUCUCUGAGUUUUAUUUUGAAAAUCUACAAAAACUCCAGAGCUAUAGUUGAUCAAGAACAAGAGACAUGGCGCUUGACUAGACUGUUCUAUCUUUUAACUACUCAAGAUACAAGUGACGGUUACAAGCCCCAUGGUGAAAGGUAAAAUGAGUAAGUUUAAAUCUUAACAGUUUACACUAACCCAGAGAUUAGAUCUUGUUUGAACGCAUGUGUACCUUUAAGGCAUGAAACCACUAUAGAAACUCUUGAGUCCAUCCUUGCUCAGGGACGAGCAAGAGGUAAGCUUGGCGGAGUUGUUGACGGUCCUUAAGUAUCAAAUUUAAUCAUCAAAUAAAUAAAGAAAAGGAUCCAAAUGCAACCAACACCCAGACUUAGGGUUUUAUCUGAUAGAAUUCCACGAGUUUUGGUGUUUGUCUAUUUCUGCAGAGGGUUAUCAGGAAAUAUGGAGGAAAGGCCCACACGUCGGCUUUACAUAGAGAUAUUAACGUGUGCGAUAAUUUUCUAUCAUCUAGAAGACUCCAGAAGCCACGAGAACGAACGGGAAGCCGAGCGGGCUCGGGGACAGGGCGCCCGCCCUCCCCCCUUGGGCGCCCGCCCUGUCAUCUGGACCAAUCAGGCUCUACCUCGUGGAUCAUGCUCCACCGACCUAGGGGAUUAAGGACAACCGUGCGAUUAAGGUCGGUUUGAUCCGACGGCCCACAUUCAUUUGGAGGGGCUAUGUAAGCAGGCCCCCUGGCCCCUAGAGGAGGUACCUCUGAAUCCUUAUUCAUUAUUCAUAGACAGAGCAAAAGCUAGGGUUUGGAGAUGAAAGCUCUCCUCUCAUCUCUAAACUAGAGUAGAUCUAGAUAGUAGCGAGAUGGAGAGUGAGGGAGGAUUGGAGGAGAGGCCGGC
RNAcentral lists this long non-coding RNA (3933 nucleotides) under Sorghum bicolor (sorghum). RNAcentral's name for it is "long non-coding RNA (SBIC_LNC010072)". Lineage: Eukaryota; Viridiplantae; Streptophyta; Magnoliopsida; Poales; Poaceae. The record is from RNAcentral.